Molecule: long non-coding RNA, 3519 nt
Filed under: Pomacea canaliculata
Lineage: Eukaryota; Metazoa; Mollusca; Gastropoda; Architaenioglossa; Ampullariidae
Description: uncharacterized LOC112557251
Source: RNAcentral
CAACCUACCUACUCAGCCGCAUCGUCUCACGAAUGACUACAAUAUUUAGUCAUUUAGAGUACGAUGAAAAACGCCGAAUUCAAGAUAGAACGACAGUAAAUACGAUUUUAAAAUGCCUUUUAUAAAGUUAUCAGAUGUAGUACGAAAGCAGAAGGAACAGGGAAGAAAAUUAGGGAAACACGAUCGAUCGAAUCGACCAUACGUAUAUUUGCUUAUUGUCGAUUACCGAAGGGUCAACUCACAGCCUAUAGCAUUGAGAAAAUCUUUUAUUUUUGUAAAUUAUUUUUGUAAAUAAUGAAAUAGGAAAAUGUGCACACAAAGCUUUGUGGAUUUGUUGGUAUGGAAAGGUUGCUUCGGUGACGAUGUACCGUAUAGCGAAUUAAUGCCAGGGCGUCAUUCCCUGUCGAUUUGUUUUCCUUUUCGAAAACCCGACUAGUAAAGGUCGAAUCAAGGAUCGAAUGACAGAAUAUAUGAUUUUUAAUUCUUUUUAAAAAUGCAGCAGACGCUUUACAAAAGCAGAAUUAAUCAGCAAAAGGAUUAAACACAUCGGCAAACACGAAAUUGACAGAAUUCCUAUACGUGCUUGCAUCGUGUAACGAAGGGUCAACAACACAUGCUAUAGCACUGGAAAAAGUGCUUAGAUUUAUAAUAACGAGAAAAAAUUGUCUAAAGAGAUUUGUGGAGUUUUUUAAUAUAUGAAAGUCUGUGUUGUUUUUAUUUUGAUGGGGAGUACGGGUGGGGGGACGUCAGUCAGUGUCAUUUGUUUUCCUUUUCCAAAGAGUUCCAAAACACGUCCAGAAUGCUUUCUAAAAAGUAUAGAGGCGGAUCACAAAAGCAGAAGGAAAAGGGGGAAAGUGAUAUAUUGUUCGAAAACGUAAGGAACGAUUUUUCGCCGUGGAUGUGAGAGCUUGGAUGCGGCUAAAGAAAACUCUUCAACAGGGGCAAAAUGUGCGUGUAAGCACCCAGACACAGGAGGAACGUGACACCUUCCAAGAUAUUCUUCGAGACAGCAUUAUGUAUUAGAAAGUUAGUUCCAUUCAAUUCUUACGAGGGCAGGUGCAACUGGAGUCAGCAAUCACAAGAAGACAAAAAGUGUCCGAGGCUGAGGGCUGGAAAGAUCUGCGAGCAGAAGAAUUCAGACCUGCCACAAAAAAGUGCAGCAUCUGUGGCUGCGCACAGAUUAUCUGGUGUCCUGAUUGUAGUCCUUGAAGCCUAUAUGGCAAAUCAUGUGAUGAAAAUAUCCAUUGUUUGGUGAUGUAUCAUCAGACAUACAGUUGGAAAGAAGACGCAUCAUUGUUUCUACCUGUGAAAAGAGAAGCAACCAUUUUGUGUGAGCACCAGUGUGACAAGCUCUACUACCGUCAGAUUAGAGUUUUUGAUGCACAAGGCAGAGAUCACAUCAGGAAAGUACAGUUCUGUGAAUGUGAGCCAGAAGCAGUAACACUAAUAAGAAAUGGCUUAUGGCCAGCAACACCAAAGAAGCCAGAGACUGCAUUUUGCAUGAAAGUGAUGGAGCAAUGCAGAAUGCUACAGUUAGAAGGACAAAUUUCUGUCCAGAAAUUUUGCAUGGCAUUGGAGCGGAGGACAACUUUUCUACAUAGUCACAGGCUCACAGCAUGACUACAGAAACAUGUACAAGGCACUGGGUAAACAUGCUAUCAUAUUUUGUCACAGCAUGACUACAGCAACAUGUACAAGACACUUGCUAAACAUAUCGUCAUAUGUUGUCCAAUAAGUCUAACUUUCAAGAAACUCCUCAUGGUAUAUUGCUUAAUGACUCCAUAGAGAACUGUAUCAGUGCCACUAGACCUGUAGUCAAGUAGUGCGACAGUUUCAUUUUAUGGAUGCAAAUAUAUUUUAAUUAUAAGUGUUAUAAGCCAAUAAUUUCAGUUUACAUUAUUUGGAAACUAUGGAAAGAAUACGUGGAUUGUGAAAAUGGUAUUUUAUGUGUUUGUUUAAUGGUUUGUUGUGGGUAACACAAUUAUAGAAUUUCACCAUCAUCAGGUGUUAUGUCUUGAGACAGCUCAUGCCCAAGACUUCCUGGGCAAGAAGUGCCCAGUAUGUAGUCUGAUAUGUUGUAUGGGUUAAGGAUUAGGCAUUUUAAGAAAUAUUUAAACACAGCUGUAUUCUGCAAACAAAAACACCCACAAAAGUUUAUUACACUUGAUUUUUACAUAAUAUUUUCACAUGGUUGCAAUUUAAGUUUUUGAAAAUAUGCCUAAUCUGUGCACAUCAGUUUCCCCGACGUUUUGAUAUAAAGAGAAUUUAUCAACAUUGUCUAAUGCCUACUGAGAAUUAGGAGGUCUUUCAAAAACAUAUCUUCUAUUUCAUGAGGAGUUAAUAGAUGUGAUUAGUGAUCUUCACUCAGAUAUCGAUUCGGAAUCUGGUUGUUGAGCUAUUACUUUCUUUAGUCAGUUUACUGAAGUGGACAAUUGAUGUGUUUAUUGAAAAUAUAAAGGUGUUUAAUGGAUGAUAGCAUGUUUAUUUUGUUUCAAAGCAUUGCUACAACCAACAUCAACAAAGGCUUUAUGAAUUCAUUGCUACAUUUUUGAACCAAGAACGGUCUAACCUUCUAAUUCUUUUUUUUAGCAAUGUUAUUUUUUAUAGUAUACAUACAAGCCACAUUCACACCGUGCAUCCAGUUGCUUUCACCCACAGAAACAAGCCAUUUAAUAUAUUUUAUAUGCCACUCUGGAGCAAGGCACGAGCUUAUUCUUAAGUAUAUUGCUGUGGCACAAUAUAUGUCUCGAGACUAUCAUUUGAGAAAAGAAUUGUACAUAACAGUAUACUGCCUUCUUGUAGCUCAUUCUCCUAAGUUUGAAGUGAUGGUAGUAAAUAAAACAGGGAAACAAACACAGUUUUUGCUUUGAGGAAAAUUAAGUGAAAAGAAUUUUCACUCGUAUAUCAUGUCAUUUACUUACAACAUAUUCUUACUAAGGAUGUUAUAUACACAGGUAGCUUUGUUAUAAAUCUUGAGAACUCUAUUUUUGUGUUCUGCAAUGGUGGUUACCUGUCAAAGAGGGAGAAAUGUCACAUGGAAAAGGACAUAGUCAAAUGUAUAAAUAUGUACGAAUAUCUAGCUGUGAUUGCUUUCAACAUUACUAUCAGUUUGUUGUGCUAUUGUGGAUGUUGCAUGGAGUGCCCCAAAAAAGUCAUAGGUAUAACCAUAUGUUUUUGGCACAUGGUGUGCAUUCACCACUAUUUUCACGUUUGUUCACAUUUGUUGCAUUUUGUGAUCAUUCAAAGUGACAUUGCUGCUAUCCUGUCAUGUCCCUUUUGUCCAGGUGUUGUAGAGUCGGUAAUACAUGUAAUGUUCUUAUGAUAAAGAUACAGGGUAGUAAGAAAGAAAUGUAAACAAUAAAUUGUUUCUUUCCCCGUAUUUUGCAUCUAGCAGGGAGACUUCUGUGGUCAGACAAACACUAUCCCUGUAAAUCCACCGCUUGACCUAGCACGAAUAGCUAUUUUACUGUACUUCAUUAAAGUGUAUGUUCAAUAAAUUGAAAAGGGCUUGAAAAACGA